GCGUGGAGCAUGUGGUUUAAUUCGAAGCAACGCGAAGAACCUUACCAGGUCUUGACAUCCCGAUGCUAUUUCUAGAGAUAGAAAGUUACUUCGGUACAUCGGUGACAGGUGGUGCAUGGUUGUCGUCAGCUCGUGUCGUGAGAUGUUGGGUUAAGUCCCGCAACGAGCGCAACCCCUAUUGUUAGUUGCCAUCAUUCAGUUGGGCACUCUAGCGAGACUGCCGGUAAUAAACCGGAGGAAGGUGGGGAUGACGUCAAAUCAUCAUGCCCCUUAUGACCUGGGCUACACACGUGCUACAAUGGUUGGUACAACGAGUUGCGAGUCGGUGACGGCGAGCUAAUCUCUUAAAGCCAAUCUCAGUUCGGAUUGUAGGCUGCAACUCGCCUACAUGAAGUCGGAAUCGCUAGUAAUCGCGGAUCAGCACGCCGCGGUGAAUACGUUCCCGGGCCUU
Molecule: ribosomal RNA, 451 nt
Filed under: uncultured Streptococcus sp.
Lineage: Bacteria; Bacillati; Bacillota; Bacilli; Lactobacillales; Streptococcaceae
Description: bacterial SSU rRNA
Rfam family: Bacterial small subunit ribosomal RNA
Source: RNAcentral